UAUUUAAUAUGUAAAUAUUAUAUUAAAAAUUUAUUUGCAGUUUUUAGUUUUAAAACAUUAUUUAAGUAAGUUUUAGUAAUUAAUUAUAGAUUUAAUAAAAUUUGUGCCAGCAAUUGCGGUUAUACAAAUAAUUCAAUUGAAAUUUAUUGGUUAAUAAUUAAUUUGUUUUAAUUAAUUUAUUAUUAAAAUUUUUAAGUGAAAUUUAAAUUUUAAUAUAAUUUUUUUGUUUAUAUUUGAAGUUAUUAAAAUUAAUAUUAAACUAGGAUUAGAUACCCUAUUAUUAUAAUUGUAAAGUUUAAAUACCAGAUUAGUAUUAGUUGUUUUCUUAAAAAUUAAAGGAUUUGGCGGUAUUUUAGUCUAUUCAGAGGAACCUGUCCUGUAAUCGAUAAUCCACGAUUAGAAUAACUUUUCUUUUUCUUGUAUAUCGUUGUUUUUGAAUAUUUUAUAAGAAUUUAAAUUUUCAAUAAGUAUAUUUUAGUUAAUUUCAGAUCAAGGUGCAGUUUAUAGGAAAGAAGAUGAUGGGUUACAUUAAAUUUAUUUUUGGUUUAAUAUUUUGAAUAAUAUUAUUAAAUUGGAUUUGAUAGUAAUAUUUUAUAUAUUUAUUAUAUGAUUUUAGCUCUAAAAUGUGUACAUAUUGCCCGUCGCUCUCAUUUAUUUGAGAUAAGUCGUAACAAAGUAGAUUUACUGGAAAGUGAAUCUAGUAUUA
This 706-nucleotide non-coding RNA is filed under the name Abscondita chinensis. Lineage: Eukaryota; Metazoa; Arthropoda; Insecta; Coleoptera; Lampyridae. The record is from RNAcentral.